This 763-nucleotide ribosomal RNA is filed under the name Actinomycetes bacterium. RNAcentral describes it as "bacterial SSU rRNA". It matches the Rfam family "Bacterial small subunit ribosomal RNA", at positions 145 to 921 of the family's 1533-position model. The record is from RNAcentral. Lineage: Bacteria; Bacillati; Actinomycetota; Actinomycetes.
AAGCCUUGGAAACGAGGUCUAAUACCGGAUAUGAGCACCUAUCGCAUGGUGGGUGUUGGAAAGUUUUUCGGUGGGGGAUGGGCUCGCGGCCUAUCAGCUUGUUGGUGGGGUAAUGGCCUACCAAGGCGUCGACGGGUAGCCGGCCUGAGAGGGCGACCGGCCACACUGGGACUGAGACACGGCCCAGACUCCUACGGGAGGCAGCAGUGGGGAAUAUUGCACAAUGGGCGAAAGCCUGAUGCAGCGACGCCACGUGAGGGAUGACGGCCUUCGGGUUGUAAACCUCUUUCAGCAGGGAAGAAGCGAAAGUGACGGUACCUGCAGAAGAAGCGCCGGCUAACUACGUGCCAGCAGCCGCGGUAAUACGUAGGGCGCAAGCGUUGUCCGGAAUUAUUGGGCGUAAAGAGCUCGUAGGCGGUCUGUCGCGUCUGGUGUGAAAUCCCAUGGCUCAACUGUGGGCUUGCAUCGGGUACGGGCAGACUAGAGUGCUGUAGGGGAGACUGGAAUUCCUGGUGUAGCGGUGGAAUGCGCAGAUAUCAGGAGGAACACCGAUGGCGAAGGCAGGUCUCUGGGCAGUUACUGACGCUGAGGAGCGAAAGCAUGGGGAGCGAACAGGAUUAGAUACCCUGGUAGUCCAUGCCGUAAACGUUGGGCACUAGGUGUGGGGCGGGUUCCACUCGUUCUGUGCCGCAGCUAACGCAUUAAGUGCCCCGCCUGGGGAGUACGGCCGCAAGGCUAAAACUCAAAGGAAUUGACGGGGGCC